CAUUAGAUGUCUGAAAUGUAAGAAUAGAUCUUUUAAAUCUACUAUAGUAAUUAAACAAUUACUUCUAAUGA
RNAcentral lists this transfer RNA (71 nucleotides) under Colletes gigas. RNAcentral's name for it is "tRNA-Lys". Lineage: Eukaryota; Metazoa; Arthropoda; Insecta; Hymenoptera; Colletidae. The record is from RNAcentral.